RNAcentral lists this ribosomal RNA (256 nucleotides) under uncultured bacterium. RNAcentral's name for it is "partial 16S ribosomal RNA". It matches the Rfam family "Bacterial small subunit ribosomal RNA", at positions 524 to 776 of the family's 1533-position model. The record is from RNAcentral.
UACGUAGGGGUGCAAGCGUUAAUCGGAAUUACUGGGCGUAAAGCGUGCGCAGGCGGUUAUGUAAGACAGAUGUGAAAUGCCCGGGCUUAACCUGGGAACUGCAUUUGUGACUGCAUGGCUAGAAUCUGGCAGAGGGGGGUAGAAUUCCACGUGUAGCAGUGAAAUGCGUAGAUAUGUGGAGGAACACCGAUGGCGAAGGCAGCCCCCUGGGUACAAGAUUGACGCUACAUGCACGAAAGCGUGGGGAGCAAACAGG